This 212-nucleotide long non-coding RNA is filed under the name Elaeis guineensis (African oil palm). RNAcentral's name for it is "long non-coding RNA (EGUI_LNC041639)". The record is from RNAcentral. Lineage: Eukaryota; Viridiplantae; Streptophyta; Magnoliopsida; Arecales; Arecaceae.
GUUUAAAUAGGCAAAAGGGAGCUAGAUAUUGAUUAGGAGAUAAGAGUCCAAAGAUACUAGGACUCUUGCAAUUUUGAUGCUGCCCACCCCACAUCCUUUUCACCCAGGUUUCUCAUGGGAAUUAUAUGGAUUUUCUAAGGCUCUUACAUGCUAAAAAGAAGUGGAGAGGUGGUGUCCAAACUGGUUUAACAUGGGACCUCCUUUGUGGUGCA